CCUACGGGAGGCUGCAGUGGGGGAUAUUGGACAAUGGGGGAAACCCUGAUCCAGCGACGCCGCGUGAGUGAAGAAGUAUUUCGGUAUGUAAAGCUCUAACAGCAGGGAAGAAAGAAAUGACGGUACCUGAGUAAUACGCCCCGUCUACCUACGUGCCAGCAGCCGCCGUAAUACGGAGGGGGCAAGCGUUAUCCGGAAUUACUGGGUGUAAAGGGAGCGUAGACGGUAAUGCAAGUCUGGAGUGAAAGGCGGGGGCCCACCCCCAGGACUGCUCUGGAAACUGGGGAACUGGAGUGCAGGAGAGGCAGGCGGAAUUCCUAGUGUAGCGGUGAAAUGCGUAGAUAUUAGGAGGAACACCAGAGGCGAAGGCGGCCUGCUGGACUGUAACUGACGUUGCGGCUCGAAAGCGUGGGGAGCAAACAGGAGUAGAUACCCUAGUAGUC
RNAcentral lists this ribosomal RNA (443 nucleotides) under uncultured bacterium. RNAcentral's name for it is "partial 16S ribosomal RNA". It matches the Rfam family "Bacterial small subunit ribosomal RNA", at positions 338 to 795 of the family's 1533-position model. The record is from RNAcentral.